CGCCCGAGGUGAGCACUUGUACAUCCCGAUCAGCUUGGAGUUCCGAUUGGUUGGUAGGCGCGGCGCUGGUUCGUAGGUCUCGGAUCCAGCCAGCGUGGUCUCCCUCCGGAGUUGCUCGUUCCGAUUGUGGUUGGUAGGCGCGGCGCGGCGCGGGUUCAUAGGUCCCGGAUCCAGCGCCGUCUUGUAUCCUUUCCUGCCUGGCUUUGAGUAUUCAUUCGUAUGAGGAACCCUACCUCGACUAGGAUAGUAGGAUUUAAUUAGUUAGGGUUUGUUUGUUUGGUAACACCACGUAGCUAGGGUUCGAUUAUCCGUAAUAAGGAAUCAAUCUGACGUUUUAGUUAGGGUUUGCUUGGUUGGUUGUUGUCAGAUUUUGGUUUCUCAAAUGGUGUAUGAAUUCUUCAACUGUGCCUGUCGCGAUUUUGGGCGGAAAUUGAUGAUUUCGGGGGCAAAAUCCGAGGGAUUUUGUGGAUGAAAGAUGGGGAAACUUGGGGAAAUGCUAGAUCCACUCGAAACCAAGCAAAUCCAUGGAUCAAAAUCAACAAAACUUCAUCAUGCCAACAAAUCACAAAAAAAAUUGGGGCUAUUUUUGGUGGGGAAAUUUCGAAUUAGGACGAAAAACAACAAAAUCAAGCUAGAAAACGAAUAUUAAUUUGGAUGGAAUUCAUGCUAUGUUGUUCGAUUUCAGUUUAUGCCAGAAUGUUUAAUUUUUUGUUUUAUCAACUGUGUUUGAGCGUAGUAGAUUUGUUGCAUAUUCAUGUUCUAGCUCUGUUUGGAUAGGUAACAAUAUUUUUUGGGAUCCUAAAAUAUUUAUGCACAGGCAGCACUUAACCUGUAGUCAUAUGUGCUGCUUUCCAGCUCUGUUGUUUGGAAGUUUAUUUAUUUUAUGUGAUACUAAUAUUUGCCAAUGAUGAUGUAUCUUUUGCCAACCAACCAAUCUCUAGUCUUCUUCUUGAGGAGUUCUGUAAAUGCUGGUUUGGUUUUCUGUCCUCACUAUGCCCUUGCACAUGGGAUGCAAUUUUUUAUUUCCCUGCUGUUUAGUUUAUUGUUUCCUUUGAUGGUGAGGCAUUAAUUCUGGAGAUGCAAUUUUCUUGCUCACAAUAAUACAAUGAAUGAUGGCAUCUCUAUGGCACUUUGAACCAAAUUAUAUAUAUUCCCUCUGUUAAUUAUUUUUCUGUUUUGGGUGAUUGAGUGUAUUCAUUCAUUUUGUUUAGUUGCCUAUCAGUAUAGUACAUGGUUGAAUUGCUUUCACUUCAUAUUAAUAACUAUUCUGUCGCACAAUGCAAAUAUAUAUAUGCUGUCCUAACUAAUUAAGUAGAAGCUUGGAUUGGUGCUGUAUAGUCUCUUCCUGACAUUAAAUCCUCCUCUGUUUGUGCUGUACCAGCUGGUAGCAGCAACUCUUCUGCUGCAGCCUUCUUCGCCGCCAAAAGGAAAUGAUGGUCUACGAAAUCCACUCCCAUGCCCAAAUCCAAGACCUGCAGGCCCGCUCCGAUGAGCUGGGCCACUCCAAAGACAUACAGCUUGUGAAUCUUGUCUCUUUGGAGUCGGUGCGCAUAGCGUGCGAGUCGUAUGAACUCCUCUGCCCGGUGAUCGAGGAGUUUGUGUUCUUGGCAUGCCCGGAGCUGGAAAACCUCUCGGUCGUGGCACGCUUGUCGCUGGAAAUCCAAAUGCUCGAGCAUGAUGUGUUACCCCAGCUCAAGGUUCAGGAAGCCAAGCUGGAACAGGGCGCCCUGGAAGCCCUCCUACUCAUGAAGAACUGAGCAAUUAUCCUCUUAGAUCUGAGGAAGCGCUUUAUGUUAGCCUUGGGCGUAUUGCUUGCCGAGGACGAUCUGGUCUUAGCCCGAGUCAAAAAGCUGAGCAUAAUGCUAAAGGAUACUGCUGAUGCUGUACUCAAAGGUAAUGGUAACAUUGCCUGGCUUGAGGAGCGUGUCGUGUUGCUGGUCCAGCUGGUCACCAAUGUGUUGGAGACCCCGGUUCGUUUCUGUGAUCCUGAUGAGGACUGAUGAGUAGACUUAUCAGCCAGCUCGAGGCUGUUGUGAUGAGUAUUUCUUAGGGGCGUGGCAAACAGUUUAGAAUCAACUGUUGCGAUGUAUUUCUUGGACCCUCCUUUAUGUUUGGAUGUGUUUUCUCAUUAUGUUACAACUUGCAAUUACUUUCAGUUUUUUUUUGAGAAACAUCCAUUCUGUGUUUUACUGUACAGUCACAUGAAGGUAUU
RNAcentral lists this ribosomal RNA (2212 nucleotides) under Triticum aestivum (bread wheat). RNAcentral's name for it is "partial small subunit ribosomal RNA". The record is from RNAcentral. Lineage: Eukaryota; Viridiplantae; Streptophyta; Magnoliopsida; Poales; Poaceae.